RNAcentral lists this small nuclear RNA (164 nucleotides) under Oryza glumipatula. RNAcentral describes it as "snRNA U1". It matches the Rfam family "U1 spliceosomal RNA". Rfam says of the family: U1 is a small nuclear RNA (snRNA) component of the spliceosome (involved in pre-mRNA splicing). The record is from RNAcentral. Lineage: Eukaryota; Viridiplantae; Streptophyta; Magnoliopsida; Poales; Poaceae.
AUACUUACCUGGACGGGGUUAAUGGGCGAUCAAGAAGGCUCAUGGCCUAGAUUAGUGGCCUCCAUUGCACUUAGGAGGAACGCUCGUCUACCAUCUCCCCAAGUGGGAGAGUGGACGUCAUAAUUUGUUGUGGCAGAGGGGGUACGCGUUCGCGCGGCCCCUAC